UACGGAGGAUGCAAGCGUUAUCCGGAGUUACUGGGCGUAAAGGGCGUGUAGGUGGUAGUGUAAGUCUGGCGUGAAAUUUUUCGGCUUAACCGGGAAAGGUCGUCGGAUACUGCACAACUAGAGGACGGUAGAGGCGUGUGGAAUUCCGGGUGUAGUGGUGAAAUGCGUAGAGAUCCGGAGGAACACCAGUGGCGAAGGCGGGUCUCUGGGCCGAUACUGACGCUGAGGAGCGAAAGCGUGGGGAGCGAACAGG
Molecule: ribosomal RNA, 253 nt
Filed under: uncultured bacterium
Lineage: Bacteria
Description: partial 16S ribosomal RNA
Rfam family: Bacterial small subunit ribosomal RNA
Source: RNAcentral